Molecule: RNA transcript, 2605 nt
Organism: Orcinus orca (killer whale)
Lineage: Eukaryota; Metazoa; Chordata; Mammalia; Artiodactyla; Delphinidae
Gene: TMEM181
Gene name: transmembrane protein 181
Exons: 16
Source: RefSeq, a predicted model, not a curated record
GCCGGGCGAAGCCCGCGGGGGCGGCCCGGGCUGCUCUCCGUGACUCUUCGCCGCCGCGCCGCGGCUUCUGCCGCCGUCACGACGGCGCCCGGGAGUUCUGUGGACUGUGCUCAGCCGUGUGGGCCUGUGGUUUGUCGGGAAUCACGUGCGGUCCCCGAGGUGCCGGGAGCCUCUGGGUUCUCGGCGAACUGCUUCGGAGCUUCCAGUGACGCGUCAGAACCGCAGCAGCGUGCUGAGUUGCAUCAAAAGCAGACCCCAAGUGAAGGCCAGGCUGAGCCUCACCACGAUGGGCUGGCGCCCAUGCGGCUGUACACGCUCUCCAAGCGCCACUUCGUCCUCGUGUUCGUCGUCUUCUUCGUCUGUUUCGGCCUGACCGUCUUCGUCGGGAUCAGAGGACCCAAAGUGAUCCAGACUUCUGCAGCUAAUUUUUCACUAAAUAAUAGCAAAGAGCUAAAGCCAGUUCAAAUACUUUCAAACCCGCUGUCCACGUAUAAUCAGCAACUGUGGCUGACAUGCGUUGUCGAGCUGGAGCAUUCGAAAGAAACAGCUAUUCAGACAAACUUCACCAUGACUGUUAAGGUCGAUGGUGUAGCUCAGGACGGGACCACCAUGUUCAUUCAUAAUAAAGUUCACAAUCGGACGAGGACCCUCACAUGUGCAGGGAAAUGUGCAGAAAUUAUUGUGGCUCACCUCAGCUACUUGAAUUACACUCAAUAUACAGUGACUGUGGGAUUCAAACACCUGAAGGAACGCAUCAAGGAAAUGAACUUCACCUGGAAGACUUACGACCCUGCAUUUUCCCACCUGGAAAUUUGGUUCCGAUUCGUCUUUGUGGUGCUUACCUUCAUUGUCACUUGCCUGUUUGCUCACUCCCUCCGGAAGUUUUCCAUGCGAGACUGGGGCAUCGAGCAGAAGUGGAUGUCCAUUCUCCUGCCUCUGCUGCUGCUUUACAACGGCCUGUCUGCCUUUUGCCUUGCAGACCCGUUCUUCCCCCUCUCCUUCCUGGUGAACAGCUGGUUCCCGGGGAUGCUGGACGACCUCUUCCAGUCUGUGUUCCUGUGCGCGCUGCUGCUCUUCUGGCUGUGCGUGUACCAUGGGAUCCGGGUGCAGGGAGAAAGGAAGUGCUUGACUUUCUAUUUGCCCAAAUGCUUCAUUGUUGGACUAUUGUGGUUGGCCUGUGUUACCCUCGGAAUAUGGCAGACAAUUAAUGAAUUACAUGAUCCAAUGUACCAGUAUCGAGUUGACACAGGAAAUUUUCAGGGAAUGAAGGUUUUCUUCAUGGUGGUGGCCGCCAUGUACAUCUUAUACCUUUUGUUCCUGAUCGUGCGGGCCUGCUCCGAGCUGCGUCACAUGCCUUAUGUAGAUCUCAGGUUGAAAUUUUUGACAGCAUUGACUUUUGUAGUGCUUGUCAUUAGCAUCGUCAUCCUUUAUUUAAGGUUCGGAGCACAAGUAUUACAAGACAACUUUGUAGCUGAACUGUCAACUCACUACCAGAAUUAUAUCCUUUCGUGGGAAGACGUCGGGCAUCAGGCACACACCCCGGUGGGGUGGGUAGCGUUGCAGGCCUGUGAAAGUCAGGAAGAGGCAUGCCCUGGGGGCCUCACCCCCGUCCGUGUGAAUGAGAGGCCCAGGGGCCCCAGCGCCUGCCCCCACCCUCCACGCCCCACUCUCCUCUCUGUGGGGCAGGGACCGCAGCGGGUCCACUCACCAUCCAAGCCUCAGGUCAGGCCAGGGCUGCCCACCUCUCCCUUUCCCCAGAUGGCAUCCCUUACCGAGUCCCAGAUGUGUCCAGCUGCAGUUGACACCUGUGUCUCCGGGCAGGGCUUGUGAGCAGCGGGACCUCCUUCGAGUCCCUGAGGCCCCGCUGCCUUGGCAGUAGGCUCCUCUUUCGGGUGCAUAAUCGGGUCAAGUGUGUGCCUCCCACUCCCGCCUUCAGUGACGGCAUCCAUCAGGGGAAACCUUGGGGUUCAUCCCUCACGUCUUGGCUUCUUUCCGUGGGGCCUCUUCUCUUACUUACAUCCUUAGAAUCAAUGCAUGAUUUCUCACGUUUUUGUGACUGAAUUUCACACAAUGCUUUUAUCAGAUUCUCAAAGGGGCGUGUAAUUCAGAAAAGAUUAAAAAGGACUAGUUUGAGAGUCUGGAUCCAGUUCUUCCUUUUAUUCUUGACUCUCCUUCCUGCCCUUUGCCUGCGACUUGCUCUCAUCAGGUCCUGCCACCUCCAGAGGCGUCCAUGGAGAGGAGAGGGCGCGGCUCACCUGUGGUUUCCAGGUGCCCCUGGAAAGGCACUGUAACCUCUGGCGUGGGCCUGCCCCGUGGUGCCCGAGGUCUGGGUGUGGCCCCCGGGGUCCUGCCUGCUGCUUAGCAGUCACUGACAGUUGGGGGAGGGGCCGUCUGACGUGUCCAAAUAGACGGUGUCCCAGCUCUGCUGCUUCCCUUGACCAGAGUCACCAGCUGAGUUCUUAUCUUUCUACGGCCUGCUGAACUUUUACCUCUACACUUUGGCCUUUGUGUAUUCGCCCUCGAAGAACGCCCUGUACGAGUCACAGCUGAAGGACAAUCCCGCCUUCUCCAUGCUCAACGACUCGGACGACGAGGUGAUAUAUGG